RNAcentral lists this ribosomal RNA (433 nucleotides) under uncultured bacterium. RNAcentral describes it as "partial 16S ribosomal RNA". It matches the Rfam family "Bacterial small subunit ribosomal RNA", at positions 29 to 507 of the family's 1533-position model. The record is from RNAcentral.
AACGAACGCUGGCGGCAUGCCUAACACAUGCAAGUCGAACGAGACCUUCGUGUCUAGUGGCGCACGGGUGCGUACCGCGUGGGAACCUGCCCUUAGGUUCGGAAUAACUCCCCGAAAGGGGUGCUAAUACCGGAUAAUGUCUUCGGACCAAAGAUUUAUCGCCUUUGGAUGGGCCCGCGUUGGAUUCGCUAGUUGGUAGGGUAAAAGCAUACCAAGGCCACGAUGCAUAGCUGGUCGGAGAGGAUGAUCAGCCACACUGGGACUGAGACACGGCCCAGACUCCUACGGGAGGCAGCAGUGGGGAAUAUUGGACAAUGGGCGAAAGCCUGAUACAGCAAUGCCGCGUGAGUGAUGAAGGCCUUAGGGUUGUAAAGCUCUUUUACCCGGGAUGAUAAUGACAGUACCGGGAGAAUAAGCUCCGACUAACUACGUG